GGAGGACCGAGCUUGAUGGGCUUAGCAUCAGCGAGAACGGCUUGAACGAAAGAGCCGGAGGCGAGACCGGCGGCGACCAAGCCAAGAACAGCCCUGCGGCUGGUCUCAGGCUCAGCAGGAACUUGCUGGGCUUUGAUCAUCAACCCAGACCGGGGGAGAGAGGGCCUGCUGCUGCCAGCCACACUCAAGCGGGAUGAGCCACUAAUUUGAAGGCUACCUUCCAAUACAGCCUGAGAGGAACCACAGAGCCCUGCCAUUGAUGCCAUAGCUUGUGCCAUUUCUACCACCAGCCUUUUGAAUACCUUUUUUUAACGAAGUUAAAGGUUUUUCUAGUGAGAAAUGGAGAAUUAUGUUGUAG
This 358-nucleotide unclassified non-coding RNA is filed under the name Hevea brasiliensis (rubber tree). Lineage: Eukaryota; Viridiplantae; Streptophyta; Magnoliopsida; Malpighiales; Euphorbiaceae. The record is from RNAcentral.